RNAcentral lists this long non-coding RNA (2733 nucleotides) under Homo sapiens (human). RNAcentral's name for it is "HSALNT0206428". The record is from RNAcentral. Lineage: Eukaryota; Metazoa; Chordata; Mammalia; Primates; Hominidae.
GUAACCACUUCCUGCAGAAAUCCUCCAGCCCUGUUAGAAAUGCCUCAGCCAGGGGGACUCAUCUCCUCAAACCUGGGGGACCGAGACCUAUGAGAGGUCACAGCAUGAGAGCCAGGACAUCGGAGGUACCCAGACAUUGUUAUGAAACUCCGCAUGUGCCCCUGGUGGACGCUGCUGGACCCAGCAUGCACACUUCUCGGCUAAGAGUCACCCUGGAUGAACCACCAUUGCCAGCGGGGAGCAUGUUGCAGCUUUCCCACGCAGUGGAUGAGAACGAAGGUUACGACCAUUGUGUGGGAGGCGUCUGUGUAGCAAUUGCUGGAAUCACUUGUGGCAUUGUAGAAAGACUGAGCGUGGGAAAGAAGACGCAUUCUGAAGUCACCCCGAUUUAUGUUAAAUUAUCACCUUGACUACUGCUAUAGAACGAAUGUUUAUGUCCCCCACCCAAAUUCGUAUGCUAAGACCUAAUAGCCAAUAAGAUAGUAUUAAUAGAUGGGGCCUUUGGGAGGUGAGUGGCUCAUGAGGGCAGAGUCCUCAAAACCAGAUAAGUGCCCGAAUAAAAGGGGCCCCAGAGAGAUCCCUUGCACCGUCUACCAUGUGAAGUGUAGAACACAGCGAGAAGGCCACCUAUGAGCCAGAACGUGGGCCCUCACCAGAACCCAGUUGUGCUGGCACCCUGAUCCUGGACUUCCAGCCUCCAAAAUGACGACAAAGAAGUUUGUUUUUCCUGAGCCAUCCACUUCAAAGUAUUCUGUCAUAGCUCCCCAAAUAGACUAAGACAUCUACUUAACCUUGGUCAAACGUUUAACCUUGGAGUCCACGCCUCUGAAAUGGUGACAAUAACACUGUGUAUUUCCUACUUUAUGAUCAGGAUUAAUAAAUAAUGCAGAGGAUAAAGCAAGCAAACAAAAAAACUUCCAGAAGAAUCACAGAGUUUUAGACCUAGAAAAAAACUGAAAAAUCAUCCAUUCCACUCUCCUCAUUUUACAGAUGAGGGCAUCGAGCCUCAGAGAAAUGAAACUUGCCCAAGACCACACAGCAAGUGAGUGGGGGACUCAUGACCCAAGACACUUUUUCCAGGCUUCCUUCUACCACAUCAUGCUGCAGAAAACACAGCAGAUGGGAAGAGACGAGAGAGACGUAUUUUAAAGAAUUGGCUCGUGGGAUUGUGGGGCCUGGAAAUCUGAAAUCUGCAGAGAAAGCCAGCAGGCUGGAAAUUCAGGAAGUGGCGAGGAAAGAAGAAUGAAGACAAAGAAUAUGGAGUUUCCAUUGAUUUAGCCAAGUCCAUAACAGAAGAAAAGUGCCUUCCUUCGGAACUUCCAAUACAAUGUGUGAGAAUGGACCUGUUACAACUUGUAUUACUCGCAGGGUUCCCCCACUACCAAGAAUAGGGGUGGCCUUAGAAGGCACUCUGAAGCAAGAAUCAGCAAGUGACUGAAUCUAUGAGACUCGUAUUGAUCAGCCUCAAAAGAAAUGAGUCCUACCUUCUCGGUCUCUUAAGAAAUUCAUUCUCUUGAAAAGCAAUUCAAAAAGAGCUUUCCCUAAUACACAUUAGAUAAACAAUGAGAUAUCCUCCUAGCUUUCUCUUGGGAAACUUUCACUUUAUAUCUUUUCAAUUUAUUCUCAUCUUUUUUUUUGUUCCUUCCUUCCCUACUUUUAGGCUUUGUCGUUCAAAAGCUAGCUCGUAGAAUUUUUUUAAAUCUUUGUAUUCAUAUAUCCCUAACUAGAGCAUGAUCUUUUUCUGGCUGGUGGAUCCUCCCCAGAAUGUUUGCAUGUAUUAGGGCUCCAGUGAAUAGGUGUUGGUCAUGAGGAAGGAUGACCAGCUAAGGGAGCUAAUGGCUUAGACAGACACUGUAGAAUUGCAAGGAAUAGAGAUGUGCUCAAGAUACCUUGGUUGGCGAGGUUUAUUGUUGCAGAAACACACUGGGUGGUAGCCAGUCAACCAAGACGGCGGCCAUCAAUUCCUUACCUUUCUUUGUGUACAUGCUGCACCCCAUGACCAAAGGUAGGGCCUUUUUUCUCCUCCCUUGUAUUUCGACUGGCCUCAUACCUUGCUUUCAACAGUGAAAUGUAACAGUGGUGAAGUUGGACUUGUUCCAAGCCUAGACUUUAAGCCUUCUGUUUCCUACUUCUUAGAAGCCAGUCACCAUGCAAGAAGCCUGCCUACCCAGUAACCAGCUGUGAGAAGUCCAAGCUGGCUACACAAAGGGGGGGACACUGAGGUGCCAGACAGGUGGGUAAGGCCUGCCUGAACCUUCCAGCUCUGCCCAACACUCAGCUGAAUGCAGUGAAUCAGCCAGCCCAGCUGAGAACACAGUGAGCAGAGGUUCUGAUCCUGCCUGGAUUCCAGACCCACAGAAUCCAGAGAAAUCAUGUGACUUUAAGCCACUAACUUUUGCAAUAGAUUAAUGUACAACAAUAGAUAAAACACACAGAAAAGUCAAGAAAAUGUUUUUGAAGAAAAGUGAUCUCCGUAGGUUAACUGCAGUUGGUUAAUACUAAUUUAUUGUAUAUUUCAAAAUAGCUAGAAGAUAAUAAUUAGAAUGUUCCUAGCAUAAAGAAAAGACAAUUUAAGGUGAUGGAUAUGCCAAUUACACUGAUUUGAUCUUUACACAUUAUAUGAAUGUAUUCAAUUAUCACAUGUACCCUGAAAAUAUGUACAUCUAUUAUGUGUAAUAAAAAUAAAUCAAAACUUUUUAAAGAAUAAAAAGCGGUCGCACAUCUAAACAGGGC